UAAGACGAACCGUGCGAACGUUGUUCGGAAUCACUGGGCUUAAAGGGCGCGUAGGCGGGUCGGUCAGUCCGGGGUGAAAGCCCCCAGCUCAACUGGGGAAGGGCCUCGGAAACUGCCGGCCUGGAGGAAGGGAGGGGUCGCGGGAACUUCCGGUGGAGCGGUGAAAUGCGUUGAUAUCGGAAGGAACGCCGGUGGCGAAAGCGCGCGACUGGCCCUUUACUGACGCUGAGGCGCGAAAGCCAGGGGAGCAAACGGGAUUAGAUACCCCGGUAGUCCUGGCCCUAAACGAUGAGGACUAGCUUGGGGACACGUCAUGGGUUCCCAGGCGAAGCAAAAGUAUUAAGUCCUCCGCCUGGGGAGUAUGGUCGCAAGGCUG
Molecule: ribosomal RNA, 376 nt
Filed under: uncultured bacterium
Lineage: Bacteria
Description: bacterial SSU rRNA
Rfam family: Bacterial small subunit ribosomal RNA
Source: RNAcentral